Molecule: non-coding RNA, 82 nt
Organism: Symsagittifera roscoffensis
Lineage: Eukaryota; Metazoa; Xenacoelomorpha; Acoela; Convolutidae
Source: the annotation of a RefSeq genome assembly
GACAGUGUGGCCGAGUGGUUAAGGCGUUGGACUGUUCAUCCAAUACAGUCUGUGUGCGUGGGUUUGAAUCCCAUCUCUGUCG